RNAcentral lists this ribosomal RNA (432 nucleotides) under Lampropeltis triangulum (milk snake). RNAcentral describes it as "partial 16S ribosomal RNA". It matches the Rfam family "Bacterial large subunit ribosomal RNA", at positions 1951 to 2594 of the family's 2925-position model. The record is from RNAcentral. Lineage: Eukaryota; Metazoa; Chordata; Lepidosauria; Squamata; Colubridae.
CAAAGGUAGCAUAAUCAUUUGUCUACUAAUUAUAGACCUGUAUGAAAGGCAAAAUGAGGGUUUAACUGUCUCUUAUAAUAAAUCAAUUAAACUGAUCUCCUAGUAAAAAAGCUAGAAUAACAACAUAAGACCAGAAGACCCUGUGAAGCUUAAAUUAAACUAUUAAACUAUAUAAUAACUCCUUUCGGUUGGGGCGACCUUGGAAAAAAAAAGAACUUCCAAACAACAUGAUUUACCUCAGACAUAAAUAAGGCCAACAAGCCAACAAAUGACCCAGCAUAGCUGAUAAUUGAAUCAAGUUACUCCAGGGAUAACAGCGCAAUCUUCUUCAAGAGCCCAUAUCAAAAAGAAGGUUUACGACCUCGAUGUUGGAUCAGGACAUCCUAAUGGUGCAGCCGCUAUUAAGGGUUCGUUUGUUCAACGAUUAACAGU